AAACUACUGAUGUCCAAUCUUUUAUAAUUUCAGGUGCUUUAAGAUGAAAAUAGUAUUCUGGGGAAGUUCCAGCGUGCUGGCAUGGCCUCAGGUGGAGGAGGGGAAAAUCCAGGAGAAGGUCUGCCUGCCUUUUUUUUGUCUAGCUGACAAGGGGCACAGUCAGGAAAAUGUGGCUGGAGCUCCUCCGCCCAACUUCAAAAUGGAAAAUAAAGAAGGGUCUGGUCGCAGAAGCAUAAGAAGAUGAAAAACUUGUUUGGUUGCUUGCUUGCUUGAACUGAAGGACUGAUGUUUUUGUCUCCAUUUUUUCCUCCACUCCAUCAUGCAAAGAGUUAUUCCAAAAUCACUUGGCAGCUGCAAGAAAGCUAUUUCCUAACCCUCAAAAUAACUUUUGUUUUGAAUAGUUCCCAACUCCUUAAAAAUGCAUCCACAUGUAUGUAUGUUUUGCAUGGGAAAGAAAACUUAGGGUAGAAAGAAAUACUCAUGGUUAAUGACAAUUAAAAGUCUGUUACAACCAUUAUUAAA
This is a long non-coding RNA of Pezoporus occidentalis (night parrot), 522 nucleotides long. RefSeq lists it as uncharacterized. The transcript has 2 exons. NCBI's taxonomy places the organism in Eukaryota, Metazoa, Chordata, Aves, Psittaciformes, Psittacidae. The record is from RefSeq and is a predicted model, not a curated record.